CGAUGAUAGCACUAGCCUCCAUCCUCCUAGCCAUAUCCACUAUGGCAUGGAAGCUCUCCCUAUCUGCAGACUGGAUCAAGGAGGAAUACCUGGAGUGAAGCUUCAUGAUAUACCUCCUUGACUUCUUCUGGUCUGUGUCAAGAGUUUGUCCUGCAAACGGCAACAGCUCCAAGAAUCUGUCGAUGUACUCCUCUACACUCAUU
This 203-nucleotide long non-coding RNA is filed under the name Manihot esculenta (cassava). RNAcentral's name for it is "long non-coding RNA (MESC_LNC007742)". Lineage: Eukaryota; Viridiplantae; Streptophyta; Magnoliopsida; Malpighiales; Euphorbiaceae. The record is from RNAcentral.